UCGUCCUCCGUACAUUCGUCUUCAUCCUCUGAAAUGUUAAUAAAGAUACUUAGAUCAUCUCAAUUUUUUUAUAAUAAUAAUAGUGUAUAUUACAAUAUAUUUAAUGUGACAUCAUCUAUUAGAAAACAAAUGGCAAAAACCCUGGAAAGAAUGUAAAGGGUCAAAAAUCAAGAGCAAAAAACCACCAUAAAGGAUCAGUGGUAGUGGAAUACAUAACUGAUGCUGAGAAAAGGGCACAGACUACGUAUAAUAGGAAGCCUACAAUUCUUAAAAAGAUUCAAGAGUUGUCUACUAUGACAAAAGAAGAAUUUAGUCUAGACUGGAAGACUGAAUCAGGUGUCUGUGGCAAUUGGAAAAGUAAGGGAUGUUCAAUAGGGAAUACUAGUACACCGCAUACACCAGUCGAAACAGCGGCAGUGGCACUUGAGGAGUUGCAGCCUUCAUCCUCUUUGGUAUACCCAGACCCGCCAGAAGUACCAGAAGAGGAAGCUAUUCACGAAGGGGAAAAAACAAAAUGUGACAUUUGUCACAGAAUGUCCGCUUCUAAUAAAAAAAAAGACCUGUGGCUCAAUUGCGAGUACAGGAAGAAAUGUGAUUUUUGGGUCCAUACGCUGUGUGUUGGUAUUGUUGCUAAGACUGAAAGUGAUUUGGAAGACAUCAAAUUUUUCUGCCCUACACACAUUAAAUCGUACAUGAAAUAAAUUUCUAAUAUUAUGAUAAAAUAAAAUAAUUUUGUACUGGUUUAAUCAUUUUACCU
Mercenaria mercenaria is the source of this 757-nucleotide long non-coding RNA. RefSeq lists it as uncharacterized. The record is from RefSeq and is a predicted model, not a curated record. The transcript has 3 exons. NCBI's taxonomy places the organism in Eukaryota, Metazoa, Mollusca, Bivalvia, Venerida, Veneridae.